Molecule: non-coding RNA, 9587 nt
Organism: Podarcis lilfordi (Lilford's wall lizard)
Lineage: Eukaryota; Metazoa; Chordata; Lepidosauria; Squamata; Lacertidae
Source: the annotation of a GenBank genome assembly
CCCACAGCCAGUCUCCUUGGCAGGGAUGUUGAAGUUCCCCAAAAUAAGCAGGCUGUGAGUCCUCAACACUGCGUCUGAAACCAGCUCUGUCAGCUCAGGUAAGGAGACUUCUAAACAGCAAGGCGGGUGGUAAACCAGCAGAAUCCCUAAUCUGUCCUGAUUGACCAGCACACAUUCUAACCCCCACCACCACCAACUGGGGGGCGGGGAGAGAGAAUUUAUGUAGACCACGGUAACUCCCCCUCCCGGGAUGCGGGUGGCGCUGUGGGUUAAACCACAGAGCCUAGGACUUGCCGAUCAGAAGGUCGGCGGUUCGAAUCCCCACAACGGGGUGAGCUCCCAUUGCUUAGUCCCAGCUCCUGCCAACCUAGCAGUUCGAAAGCAUGUCAAAGUGCAAGUAGAUAAAUAGGUAUCGCUCUGGCGGGAAGGUAAACUGUGUUUCCGUGCACUGCUCUGGUUUGCCAGAAGCGGCUUAGUCAUACUGGCCACAUGACUCGGAAGCUGUACGCCGGCUCCCUCGGCCAAUAAAGCAAGAUGAGUGCCGCAACCCCAGAGUCAGCCACAACUGGGCCUAAUCGUCAAGGGUCCCUUUACCUUUACCUAACUCCCCCUCCCAGACCCUCAAGUCUGCCCUGAUUCUGCACCAUUGGGUGAGAAAAACUCCACCUUGCUCACCCACCCAGGUCUCAGUGAUGCAGGUCAGAUCAGCCUCCUUAUCCACAAUCUGAUCAUGGAUGAGGGAGGUCUUGUUCAGAGGUGACCUGGCAUUCAGCAGCAGCAGCAUCUGCAGACCCAACAGCUGGCUGAUAGGACAACAAUUUCCCAAGCUGGAGGAGGAAUGGGCACACGGCAGAGUCACUGUCAGUGCUGUGUACCCCUUACCCGGGCUGUCUCACCUUCCACACCAUACCUCCUCCUUCCCUGAACCACUGCAACUGUCCCCUUCCUCUCCCUAGCUCCUCUCUUCCCAGGCACAUCUCCCCUCCCUCAGAAAAAUAAUCCACACAAGUUAACCCCACAGUCCAAGAUUCUGUUCAGCAGCUUCAGCUUUUGUAGCUGGAGUCAGUCAGGGCCCAUCCCUCCUAGACCAGGGGGAAAAGGUCUGCCAGGCAAGAAGCAGGUCCUCCAGGACUCACAGCCAGGAUUUCCCUGGUUUCAUAGUUUCAUGUUGCUUCCAGAGGACUUUAGUGAAAAUUCAUCAAGUUUUGUUUGCCCACAGUACCACUUACCUCUGGGUAAAAUAUGCAGAGGAUUAUGCUGCCAGGCUACAAAUCUACAUCCUAGUCUGGAAGUAAGUCCAUUGAACACAGUGGGGAUUACCUCUGAGCAGACAUGUAUAGAAUUGCACUGGCAGGAUUUUGAAGAAGGCCAGGCAUGGUGUUGUGUUAAAAGGAGUCAGGAAGCAUCUGAACUGAAGGAUUAUAUCCUCCAACCUGCUGAGUUAUUUUCAAGUACAUGAGGAUUGACAAAGCAAGUUGCCACUUUCUAAAUUAAUUUCAGGGCCAUCAACCACUAUUUCUCCUUGACUUGGCGAACUAAAACUUUUUAAUUAACAUCAACAGAAAUUAGGCCAGUGUCGACAGUGAGCCUAAUGCUGCCUGACAUUUCCCACAGACUAAGGCUCAGCUUGAACAUACAGCAGUGCGUCUUUUUAAUCUUAAUUAAGUAAACACAAUCAAAAACAGCCUUUACAUUCCAUUUAGUUCACUGCAGAAAACAUGUGUUUCUCUCAGCUAAACGUGGCAUAUACUGCCAUGGCUUUUUAUAGGCCGCAGGACUGAUAUGUCUGAUGACUGAAAACGACCAUGCACUUGGUAAUACGUAUUUCCAACAUUUCAUAUGCUAUGUAUCAUCAGAAAACACUCCCUCUGGAUUGAUUUUACAACCAUUUUUACAGUAAAAUAAAAUACUAUGUUGAAAUGAGAAAUACUUGCAAGCAUUUACACAGAGGAUCCUAGAUUGGCUCUGAACAUGUGCUAAGUACAUUUCCCUCACUGCAGCUAGCCUUAUUUUCUGUUUUAAUGCUAAGAUAACAAGGGGAAAUGUCUGAGAGGCCAAGCAUUUGUGCGUCUCUUGGUCCUGUCAAGGUGAGCAAAGUUAUUUGUAUAUUUAGAGGUGACUUUGACCUAACAUGAGUUAGUGUGAUCUAGUGGAUUUAGUGGACAUAGAAGUAGACUUGGUCCUCAAAGACAUAGGCUGACAGCCACAUAUUGGCCAGGUGUCUAUAUUCUGCAUACACACCAUACAUUUAAAGGACAUCUCUUCUUCCCUCCCCCACAAAGGGGGAGAGUACUCUAGUUUGCUUUGCACAGAGCUACAACUCCCAGCCCCCUGAGCAAAUUCUGCUUCCAAUAAUUCUUCAGGUAGUGACUUAGAUAUAUGGUGUGUACACAGUCCUACUUGGUAAUUGGGGGACAGGUGAGUAACUGGCAAGCUAAGAGUGUUUGUUCUUCUCUAGGCAGAUCACUCUCUCUGUGUAUGUUGGUUUUAGUUUCUGUGGCUUUUAAACAGAGUAAUUCAAAUCUCUUGAAGGCCUUAACCAAAAUUUAAAUGAGUGCAUUACAUGGUUAAUGGACUCUUAAUAUCUAAUGAGCAGACUAAAAGCGAGAUAGUUUACUGCUUAUGUUUUCCCCCAUCUGCCUACAAAGGCUGUGGAGUUUCAUUAAUUAACUAUCCCUUUAUGUUAGCAGCCGGAUCAACUGCAAAUCAUCACCAUACAUUAUUUGGAAUAGUUGCCCCUGAGUAAUCCAAACCAUAUCCUGAAUGUAGUUUAAACAGGAUGCUUUAGCCAAACGACAUUAUCAGCCUUAAGUAUACCUCUAGUGCAUUGUAUGGGAGAUGAAACUGAGCCUCUUAACUACUCCAGAUUAGCACCCACAUAGUGCCAACCAUAUUAGGAAAAUGUGUUAGGAAAAAUAUCUACAGGCUCCAAAUGACUUUGGAGUUAUGAAUAAAAGCUUCAAGGCAGGAUGUGUUCCUGCUUUUCGAUAAGUGCUAAAAAUGCAAAAGACAUUUGUCAUGACUGCCAAACAAAACUGGCACAAAGCUUUUAAAUCCUUAAAUACAGUUAAUUGUUCACAGGAAAACAUAGGGAGCAUGUCAAACAGCUUUGUUUUGUUUUCAUAUCAGGAUAGAACCUCAGAGGAGGACAGAAUUUAAGUACUUGCUUAGUGAAUUUUAAAAUAUUUAGGCCAUGUAAUACACACUCGAUGUGGAGAAUGUUAAUUCUACAGGCAUAAAUUAAACAUAAACAUUCCUAGCAAUGGUCUAAAACACUAUUGCAUGCCACCCUAAUCGCAGAGCGGUACAAAAUUCCAGGGAUUCCAAGCGCUCACCCAGGGUGUGUGUUUUAUUUUGGAAAUGAAGCACAGUGGAGACUGUGGUGUCUUUAUGAUAUAUGGUUUAUUUAUACAUACAUAUAUACACAACCUGAAGCCUACAAUGGAGGGGCUCACAGCAAUUAACAACCCAAAAGGUUUCUCCCAUACCUGCAGCCUUGGAUUCAAACAGACAUCAAACAUUGUGCUCUGCUUCUCUGGCUUUGCACUUGCUGCCUGCCUUCUCCAUGGCAUCACUCCUAACUCUGCUCUAAGCUUCUAGCUCACAUUGCUUCUAACUCUCUACACUAAUCUUUGGCUGGAGAACCUGGAGAAAGGAUGGGGGUGGAGGAGAAGAGAGACAUGAAGGAUGAGUUGGCGAGUCCUGGCAUCCAAGCCAUGUGUGUGCCUGUUCACUGUUCUCUGAACUUGCCCAGCUGCUAGCAUAACUCAAAGGAUUAGAGACAUGCAUAGAACAAGAAAACAAACCCAGCAGCUAUUGUGCAACAGAACAACAGGAGCUGAGUACAAAAGCCAAUGCUGGCUGUUCCAUAUAAUCUGAUCUUCCAUUGUAGAAGGCUGUAGAAAUGAGCAAAUGCCUACUUCAAAAUACAUCAGCACCUGUUCUGAAAUACUUCUUUAAAGUAGAUAAUUUACUUCUGGCUUUCCCCCACCCCUAUGUAUAUGCUUCCUCUUCUAAAUAUUUGUUUCAUAUUUAGCCAAGAAGAUAGAAAUUUGUUGGAACAAGAGUCCCCUUCAGCUUUUUAAUUAAGGCUUCUCAAAUAUAAAGUCCCCUCACAUAUAAGUAGCUGCUGGCUGAGAGCUGUUUGUCAGUUUGGUUACAACUCUGCAGGGAGAUCAGAGUGGCUGGGGCAACCCAGUCAGAUGAGCGGGGCACAAAUAAGAAAUCGUCGUCGUCGUCGUCGUUGUCAUCGUCAUCAUUCUUUAGAUUCAACAUUUAAGCUGAAAGUCUGGUGCAAGUCUUAUUCUAGAAACACAGACCGAUUUGCUUGCACGCUAAUAAUCUGCCGUAAAUCAAUACAUUAGGCUUUGCAGGGUAUAUAUAUAUAUAUAUAUAUAAUUUGUAAUUAGCAGUGUCUUAAAAAUAUUUAUAAUGAAGCCAUGAGCCUGAGUGGCAGAAUGAUAGUGACUGACUGAGGGGGGAAAUAAUUAAAAAGAAGCUGUGUUUCAGAACAAAUUCUGUUCAAUCAGUUGUUGUCUGUAGCUUCUUAUUUUUAUUGCAGGUGCUAUGCACUCCAUUGAAAACUUUUAUGAAGACUGUAGUUUACUAUAGUUAUUGUUUAACUACAUAGAGAUCAAAGUAGGGGGUCUGUGGCUUGGAUUUGAAAAAUAGGGAGUCGUCAGUAAUUAGCUAAUUGGGAACCACUGUUCUGGUGCAUUUUGACCAUAUAUUACAUGUUCUGGACCUUAAUAGCUUGUUCACUUUAAAAAUGGCUCCAGUUCUUUACAAAUAGUCCAUAAUUGCAUAGAAUGUAGACUGAAAGUAGCUAACAUGUUGCUAUCCAAAUGUUAUUGGACUGCAACUCCCAUUGUACCUUAUCAUUGUCCAGAAUAACUAAGGCUGAUGGGAGUUGGAGUUCAACAAUAUCUGAAGGACACUACAUUGGCUACCCCUGGUGUCGACAAUAUUUUAACAGGGUGACAUUCCAAACAGGGUGACAUUCAAAACACCAGCACCAGCACCCUGAAGUCACUUAAAUGCUAUUGUCCUGCAAUAGAUAACUCACAUAGGACUUCUUUUGGUCUGGUUUAGUUUGGACCACUAGCUUAUCAAGUGCCCUUGAGAACUUUAUAGUAAGCUAACCCCUUGCUGUGGUUGUCUGUGUUCAUGCACUGCAUUUCUCAUUUCUGGCCAUGUCACAACACAUAUUCAGAACAUGAGUAGGGCAAAGCAACAGUUGAAGCAGUUCUGAUAAAGCUGUUCUUCUGGGGUAUGACAUCUGUGUGAAACUAAUUUACAUUGUAAAGCAAAAUAGUCUUUGAUUUUUAUACCUCACAGAAAGAAAGUCAUUGUCUCGUUAAUUUAACAUGUCUCAUUUCUUCUGAGACAAAGAACUAAAGCACUUGGCAAUUCCCUAGUCACUAAAGGAUAACAUAAUAAUGUUAUCUACCUUUGCAGCAUUAAUUCAUGGUUUAAAGUUUAAAUUGAAGACAAGGAAAUUGUCUUGUUUCAGUCUUCAGUCUUGUUUUUCUUCUUGUUUUUCUUCUUUCAGUCUUGUUUCAGUCUUGUUUUUCAGUCUUGUUUUCAGUCUUGUUUUUCUUCUGAAAGAAACAUUCUGUCAUAACUGCCUGCCUCUAAGCUCUUGGUAAUGUGAGUCAUUUAAAACAAAAAAGCAUUAAUGCAGGAGGUGUUACAUUAUCUUAGUAAUUUCUUUUAUUUUCCUUUUAUUUUCCAGCAAGUGUUAAAAUAUAAGCCAGGCUUACUUCUUGUGUUGAGGUGAUAGCCUCGGUGAUGGGCAGUUAAGAUAAAUGAAGCAAAGGGACUAUAUGAGAGAUGGCAAGAUGGGCUAGAGAAAAACUCAGAGCAAUGUUUGAGAGCAAAGUUUGAUUUCUGUUUGAAUCCAAGGCUGUGGCUAUGGGAGAUCAAUACCUUUUUGGGGUGUUGAUGCUACAAACACAUCCAUCGUAGGCUCAGGUUAUAUAUGGGUGUAAAUAAACCAUAUAUCAUGAAGACACCACAUUCUCCUCUGUGCCUUGUUCCCAAAAGAAAUAUGAACCUCGGGUGAGCACAUGGAACCCCUGAAAUCUCAUAUUGCUCAGAGAUUGGGGUAGCAUGGGGUAACAAUAAAAAACUCUACCUCCAGUCAAUACAAUGAAUUACCUUAUCAACCUGUUUUCCUGAUCCUGUGGAUAAGUAUGCAGAAGUGGAAACAGCCACCUUUUCUGAGCCAAAAUAAGCUCUUUCAAAAGUCCAGUACCUUCGUUAAAAAGAAAUGUGUGAUGCUGUGAUUGUGCUACCUGGAAUGGCAUCCUACCUGGCCCAAUGCCCUCAUGGGAUGUCUGCUGCUGGUGGAUAUUUCCAACAGAGUGACUCUGUGCCACCCUGUAGUGCCAGUGUGACUGGCUGCACACUGACGCGAGGGCAGACAUGUUAAUGUUGCAUGAUUCUUGUGGUGGUUGUGCUCCCAGGAUGAGCACUUAAACAGAGUGGAUCUUGGGGCCAGUUUUUAUCUGCAGUUUCCAAUGUACUUUUAUAGCUGCCUAAGAAAGAAUGACUGAUUGUGAUAGGGUGUCACUUUUAUGAAGUGCAUAUCAGUAAAAAGAGAACAGGAAGAAACCGAUCACCAGAGAAGUGCUGAAAUAUUUCCAUUCUUAGAAGACUUGUGCACUUAACUGAGCUAUGUUGAUGAUCGGACAAGAUUUUUACACAAAGGCAUGUGAACUAGUGAUGUCUUGUUUCACUGGCAAAAGCGGUAGGAUUCUGUUCUUUGUACUAUUAAACUAGCUGAAGUCAGGAUAAGAAAUUAGGAGAUCUGAAAUUUCAAUAAAUCUGAACAAUUAUUCAUUAAACUUCAUAGGGAUUUUGUUUUUAUUUGAUUUCUGGUAUGCAUAACUGUCAUAGACACAGGAAGCUGCAUAACAGCAAAUCUGACCAUUGGUCCAUCUAGCACAAUAUUGUCUACACUGACUGGCAGCAGUUCACCAGGGUUUCAGACAGAAGUCUUUCCUGCCCUAUGUGGAACUGGAAACACUGGAAGCUGAACUUAGGACCUUCUACAUGUAAAGUUUGUGCUUUACAACUGAGCUGCAGCCCUUUCUGUCAUAUUUAACAUGCAUAUUUUCCAUCACCAAUAGGUCUAGAAACUUUGUUUUAAAGAAAGGUGGCAUCCUCAGAAUUCUUACAGAACCAGUGAUCUUAACCCCACCUUCUUUUUUGCUCCAUGACUCUGGUUUGGCUGGAAAUACCCUACAACCUAAGUCCAGAUAAUUAUUUAUCUAUCUAUCUAUCUAUCUAUCUAUCUACUACUUUUUUCUUCCAAGGAACCUAUGGUGGAUGAUAUAUGUGGUUCUCCUGCUGCCCUUUUCUUCCUUACAACAACCCUAAAACAAAAAUACCAGCAGUAAUUUGAUACUCUGGUAAAGUGAUGAGUGAUGACUCUACAUUGCUUUUUUUUUGCAGUGAUUACAAUAAUUUUCAGAUUAACUCAUUGUUAUGGACAGUUACGAUUAUGCUAGUUGCUUUAAAACAAACAAGCCCUCUGAAAUUUGGCAUUUCAGUGGUUUAUUUUUACUUUAAGAUGAACCACCAGGCACUGGCAGGAAGAGUAAACAAAGUAAUUUAUUUAUAGCUAUCAAAAAAACAAAUUUAUUUAUAGCUAUCAAAGAUAUUGUUGGUGGUGAUAUUUUACAGAACAGAAAAAUCCAAAAGCACUCUGGUACAUACAUUCCUUGGAAGCAUUUGCCAACUUGCCUUUCUCAUUCAGAAGUGCAAUGGUACUCCCUAGUGGAAGACCUCAGGAACUACUAUUUCUCAUUCAUUAGUUAAGAAACAGUUGGAAAUACACUAUGCAAACUUUUUGCUUCCAAGAACAUGGGAGAUUAUCAUUGGAGAAUGACACAAGUUGGAUCUGGACCACAAAUAAUUUACACAGAUAGGUGUGCAAGACAGUAAAAGAGGGCUAGUACAUUUUAGGAAAUUGCUUGAAAGAUGGAGUGCUCUCUAUCAAUGCCACUUGUGCUAGCAAAGCUGUAGAUCUGAGAAACUGGGUGCUUCUCUAUUUUCAAAAGGAAAACAAUCAUUGCUUUGCUGUUCCUGUACACUUUGAUGCCACCUGAGAUCUUCUACACUUGGCACAAAGGAACAUAAUUGCUCUGUAAAGAGCUUCCUGGAUCACCAUCUUAAGCCUGGGCACAUUACAGACAUGUCUCUACCAUUCCCUUUACAAACAGCACCUUUAAUAUUCUCUUUCCCAAUUGUCGCUCCACUGACUCACACCAUCUUUUUCUUUAGCACCCAGCCUGAGAAAGUUCUGUGAAACAUGAAAGUUACACCGUUGUUUUGUGACAUUCACUUGGCCCUCCUCAUUAAGGCAUCACUAUACUUUCUCCUGUUUCCAUUCCUUUCCUCACAGACCAACAUGGCUGUCUGCAUUUUUAAUCUAUGAAGCAUAGCUGAUGACACAAAGUGUUAUCAUGGAAACCCAUGAUCAAUUAACUGGGAUAAACUAGUCAACCCCUAUGCAGAAGCUCAUGUGUAAAAUCAAAAGGGAGAGCUAAAUUAUUUGUUCCCAGCCCCAAAUCAUGAAGAGCUUGAACAGGGGAGCAUCCUGUACUUAUGAAGGUUUCUCCCAUGAUUCAAGACCCCCUUUUAUUCAGGGUUCUGAAGCUCUCUGAACCCUGAUCCCUCUUAUACAGGACGCCUCCACAGAUACACAAGUUUCCUCACAGCAGCUGAAAAUUCCUGAAGGGAACAGAGGAGUGGAUCUGGGUGAUAGAGCUAAACCAUACAGGCCUGUUCUACCUGUAUUUCUCUUCAGGCCAUAGCACCUGACGGAACCUUAAACCAUGCAGGGAGAACUUGUGGGUAUAGAAGGCUCCCAGCAAUGCUUCUCCUCUUCUCACAUCCUAACCUUGGUUAUUCCAACAGCCUCUCUCUUCUAAGAAUAUCUCAGGCCUGCAGAUUAUAUAUCUGCAGUUCUAUCUACUAAAGACCCGCUGCAUCUCCAGUUCCCAUUAUCAUAGAUACAUAGAAUUAUAGAAAGGUAGAGUUUGAAGGGGCACCAAGGGUCAUCUAGUCCAACCCCCUGGAAUGCAGAUAUCUCAGCAUGCGGUCCAUCCAAUUUGAAAUCAUACUUAGCUUUGCAAAUGUGCUAGCAGUUUUAUUGCUGCGCGAAUCUUACUGUUUUUACAUUCUUAAUCAAAGUUAGCAGGAAAUCCUUAUCAGUUUUUAUCACAUUUCAAAAACUAAUGUAGAAACAACUUAAUUCAUCUGCAUUUUAUGCUGGUCAUAAAUGGAUUUCAUUGUUGCCUGUCUGCAGUGAAGUGUUGUUAAAAGUCAGUGUAGAGGUUAACUUUUGCAUUUUAAAAGGUAAAAGAAUAGUGGACCAGGAUUUAUUUUUUUUUGAGAAGGAAAAGUAUAUUGCAUGUUUUCCCUAAAUUAACAUUGUGGUUAUUCGGCAACAUUUAGAAACAUCCUGCAACACAGACGUCACAGGAAGCACAAGAACCACCAUGCUGGAUCAAGACCAAGUGGGAAUUAUAGGAAUUUGCUUUAUAUUGAGUCAGACCAUUGACUCACCUUGAUUGAAU